UUUAUGUUUUUAAAACAUUUCCACUUGUUCCUCAUCAAAUUUAGAGGAGGAAAUAUUUCUUCAUGAGUUCCCAAAUAUAUGAGGAAAAUAGAGAAAAAUAGUGGGACCGAUGUAUUAACAGUUUGACAAAAAUUUCAACUGAAUUGGUAACAUUUUUAAGGAACAACCAAUUCAUCAUAUUUUUUUCCUAAAGAAUGGGUU
This 201-nucleotide long non-coding RNA is filed under the name Brassica rapa (field mustard). RNAcentral's name for it is "long non-coding RNA (BRAP_LNC000723)". The record is from RNAcentral. Lineage: Eukaryota; Viridiplantae; Streptophyta; Magnoliopsida; Brassicales; Brassicaceae.